GGAAUCUUCGGCAAUGGGGGCAACCCUGACCGAGCAACGCCGCGUGAGUGAAGAAGGUUUUCAGAUCGUAAAGCUCUGUUGUAAGAGAAGAACGUGUGUGAGAGUGGAAAGUUCACACAGUGACGGUAACUUACCAGAAAGGGACGGCUAACUACGUGCCAG
RNAcentral lists this ribosomal RNA (162 nucleotides) under uncultured bacterium. RNAcentral describes it as "partial 16S rRNA". It matches the Rfam family "Bacterial small subunit ribosomal RNA", at positions 358 to 511 of the family's 1533-position model. The record is from RNAcentral.